Molecule: ribosomal RNA, 169 nt
Filed under: Porinaceae sp.
Lineage: Eukaryota; Fungi; Ascomycota; Lecanoromycetes; Ostropales; Porinaceae
Description: partial large subunit ribosomal RNA
Rfam family: Eukaryotic large subunit ribosomal RNA
Source: RNAcentral
CGGCCACGGCUCAAAUUUGGAAUCCGGUCGCUGCGCGGCCCGAGUUGUAAUUUGCAGAAGGCGCCCCGGGGGCGCGCGCCGGCCCAAGUCCCUUGGAACGGGGCGUCAUGGAGGGUGAGAAUCCCGUACGCGGCCGGGGCAGCGCGUUCCCACGUGGGGUCCUUUCGAC